AGGACGAACGCUGGCGGCGUGCCUAACACAUGCAAGUGGAGCGACGAACCGGGCUUCGGCCCGGGGCAAAGCCGCGAACGGGUGAGUAACACGUGGGUAACCUGCCCCGAUGAUUGGGACAACCCGAGGAAACUCGGGCUAAAUACCGAAUGUGCCCUCCGGCCUCAAGGCCGCUGGGGAAAGGAAGCUUCGGCCUCCGCAUCGGGAUGGGCCCGCGGCCCAUUAGCUUGUUGGUGAGGUAACGGCUCACCAAGGCGACGAUGGGUAGC
Molecule: ribosomal RNA, 269 nt
Filed under: uncultured bacterium
Lineage: Bacteria
Description: partial small subunit ribosomal RNA
Rfam family: Bacterial small subunit ribosomal RNA
Source: RNAcentral